RNAcentral lists this ribosomal RNA (210 nucleotides) under uncultured Pseudomonas sp. RNAcentral's name for it is "partial 16S ribosomal RNA". It matches the Rfam family "Bacterial small subunit ribosomal RNA", at positions 145 to 354 of the family's 1533-position model. The record is from RNAcentral. Lineage: Bacteria; Pseudomonadati; Pseudomonadota; Gammaproteobacteria; Pseudomonadales; Pseudomonadaceae.
AACGUUUCGAAAGGAACGCUAAUACCGCAUACGUCCUACGGGAGAAAGCAGGGGACCUUCGGGCCUUGCGCUAUCAGAUGAGCCUAGGUCGGAUUAGCUAGUUGGUGAGGUAAUGGCUCACCAAGGGCGACGAUCCGUAACUGGUCUGAGAGGAUGAUCAGUCACACUGGAACUGAGACACGGUCCAGACUCCUACGGGAGGCAGCAGGC